GCCCGGGUGGUCUAGUGGUAUGAUUCGCGCUUAGGGUUCACCCAAAGCAAUAUUGCGCGAGGUCCCCGGUUCAAUCCCGGGCUCGGGCC
RNAcentral lists this transfer RNA (89 nucleotides) under Penicillium crustosum. Its description in RNAcentral is "tRNA-Pro". RNAcentral also lists the same sequence under 3 other names. Lineage: Eukaryota; Fungi; Ascomycota; Eurotiomycetes; Eurotiales; Aspergillaceae. The record is from RNAcentral.